Molecule: ribosomal RNA, 411 nt
Filed under: Clostridioides difficile
Lineage: Bacteria; Bacillati; Bacillota; Clostridia; Peptostreptococcales; Peptostreptococcaceae
Description: bacterial SSU rRNA
Rfam family: Bacterial small subunit ribosomal RNA
Source: RNAcentral
UCCUAGUGUAGCGGGGAAAUGCGUAGAUAUUAGGAGGAACACCAGUUGCGCAUGCAGCCCUCUGGACCGUAACUGACGCGGAGGCGCGAAAGCGUGGGGAGCAAACAGGUUUAGAUACCCAGGUAGUCCACGCUGUAAACGAUGAGUACUAUGUGUCGGGGGUUACCCCCUUCGGUGCCGCAGCUACCGCAUUAAGUACUCCGCCUGGGACGUACGCUCGCAAGAGUUAAACUCAAAGGACUUGACGGGGACCCUCCCAUGUAGCCGCGCCUGUCGUUUAAUUCAAAUCAAAUCGACGACCCUUACCCACGCUUGACAUCUCCAUUACAUCUCCUUCAUCGCACAGUACCAUUCGCGGACCUUUUAGACCGCUGUGGCAUGGUGAUCGUCCUCCCGUUUCGACAGAUGUUG